RNAcentral lists this long non-coding RNA (1640 nucleotides) under Homo sapiens (human). RNAcentral describes it as "HSALNT0316108". The record is from RNAcentral. Lineage: Eukaryota; Metazoa; Chordata; Mammalia; Primates; Hominidae.
AAAAAAAAAAAAGAAAAAGAAAAAGGAAAAAAAAAAAGAAUCAUGGCUAGGUAAUAAAGUAAACUGGAGAUUCACUCUCUUCAUUAGGGUGGGAGCCAAGAAUGUGCAUUGUUGUUGUGUAUCCUCAGUGAUUCUUAUAAGGUGGUCCCCACACUACACUUUGAGAAACAGCAAAUAAAAGGACUUCUUUCUCAUGCCUUUCUGUAAGUGCGGCUCAUGUCCUCCCUGGUCUCUUGUUUGAUGGUCACUGGAGAUGAGAUGAUUUUGAGAAUCGCACCAUGCUUUACUCUCUCUCUUUAGCCUGUUCUGAAGAGACCACAUGCAGGGGAUUUUUGAUUUGAAAAUGAAACAGUCUGGCUCAUGUUUUCCAAGAAUUUGAUAGAAACCAAAUUAGAGAGAAAAGAAUGUUUCAAGGCAAUCUCUGAAUCUAAGGAUGUUAGUUACAAUGACAGUAAUAAAAAAGAGAAGAUUGUGUGCUUAAAGAAUACAAGUUACAUAUUUGUGCUGAAUUGGUGGUUUGGGUUAACAAUAGAACAAGGUUUAGUUGUAUCUUGCCCUGUUUUUUUUUUUUUUUUUUAAAUUAAAAAGAAAUCUGCGUGUCAGUGUUUCUCUAUACAAUGUACACAAUGUGAACUGCAACAUCUUAAAUGUUUGGCAGGACAUUCAUGCUCAUGACAUCACAUGCUGAGAGGACAGGGAGGCCAGUGUGGGGCUGGCCUCGAAGAGAGGCGGCAUCAGUGCUACCAUUGAGAUGUCCCCACAAAAGAGUGUGUGACAGCCAGAUGUGCAGCUUAAUGGAGACUGAACCAGGAUUGUGGGUGGAACAUUGGCACAUGCUGCUUAUGGCUUGAAUAGCAGCUCUUGAGGAAUCUAUAUUUCUCUACCUCAUGCAGAAUCUUAGAGCUCUGGCUUUGUGGCUCCAUGGCUGGGGGAGGGAGUGGAGACGGAGGAACUUGUCACUGCUCCAUGCCCCAUUGUUGAAAUGGAAAAUGUGGAAAUGUUAAGCCGUUUCUAGAGGAUUGUGGAAGACUCAGGGUGACAAGAAGUGGAUUCUAAAGUGCUGAGGGCUCAGUGGGCCAGCCCAGGCCUGGAGUCUGAAUGAAGAGGCAUCAGUGUGCCGGAACUUCAUGACUGGGUUCAGUGCCAGACCUGCAGACGUUGAAAGUGAAUGUCAUCAUGAAGCCCACAUGGCUGGAUGGGUCAGGUUCUCCUCAGUUGUCACCUGUCCAGGGGCAGUCCAGUGAGAAAAGCUAGAAUGUGGAGUCCUGUCAUCAGAUGAUGUGACUACAUGGAAUGAGGACUAUAGCUGCUCUCUUAAAAACCUGCAGCCCCCUCUCUCAGCCCAGACAGUUGAGGUAUUUAUGCACCAUCAUAACAUUAACAGCAUCUUUGCUUUGGAAAGUGGGGGUUUAUGAUUUCUAGGGUAAAUCCUCGCCUUUGGGAGUGUGAAUGAGACAAGCGUAUCAGCAACUGCCAAGACCAAUCAAUAGAUGUGCAUGGAACAUUCUCUUCAUCCCCAAAUCAGAAUGAACACAGUCCUUUAAAGUCUGCACUGCAGGUGAAAUUCACAUGACUCACAAUUCCCUUUAGCCAAUGUUACCGAAGUCAGUGUCAAGAAAACUUAACAGAAAAAAAAAAAA